RNAcentral lists this ribosomal RNA (885 nucleotides) under Triticum aestivum (bread wheat). RNAcentral's name for it is "partial small subunit ribosomal RNA". The record is from RNAcentral. Lineage: Eukaryota; Viridiplantae; Streptophyta; Magnoliopsida; Poales; Poaceae.
CCUCGCUCCCGAGCCGAACGCCGCCACCGUCCCCAAUCUCUGGCCGCCGCCCCCUCCGGCGACUGGAUCCAGAUCCCCCGCCCCCAAAACCACCGCCGAGCCCCGAACGUAGGGACCCUGCCUCCCCGUUCCACUACCCCCGCUACCGAGCACCGACCGCACGGACGCCUCCGCCCCGUCCCCACCAACUCCGGCCCGAUCCUUCACGCCACCGAAGCCGACGUCGCUUGCCGCCCCCGGUCCACCUCUGCCCCGAGCCCCAACAGCUGCAGCACUUCGACGCCCACGCCACCUCUCCCGCAUUCCGUCAAGACGGCGAUGGCGGUGAGGGCACUCGGGCUCGCCGGCCGAGCGCUCCUGCGACCGGUCGCUUCACCGGGCACCCAACGGCUGCUGUCAACUGACAAGAACUCACUGCAGGUCCUUACGAACGGCGAUCCGAUGACCCGCCUCAUGCAAACGCGGAAGCAGAAUGACAGCAUUUACCGUCGCUUUGCUGAAAACGAUUUCACAGGCGGCGGUAGCAGGUCUGGCCGAUUAAACACGGAAAUAACGUGGACAGCGGCUCCGCGAGUAAAGAUAGAUGUUCUACACAUCACACCCAAGGAGGAAAAGACCUUUGUGACCGUGACGGGCGUCAAGGAGAACAGGAAGCCCGGGGCUUCUGCUGGCUGCUUGGAGGAUCGAAAAGGGCGUUCUCGUCUCGCUCGGUACGCCGGUGAAGCAACAGGGAAACACAUGGGGCGAUCCGCCAGCAAGAUUGGCCUCAAGUCGAUCGUCGUGAAAUUGAAAGGAUGUUCCUUUUUCAGGAAGAAGAAGAAAGUGCUCUUGAGCAUUGCAGCCGGUUCCCGAGGUGAAAGAGUGAGGAGCCUUUCUCCUAAAUAA